Capra hircus (goat) is the source of this 515-nucleotide non-coding RNA. The record is from the annotation of a RefSeq genome assembly. Lineage: Eukaryota; Metazoa; Chordata; Mammalia; Artiodactyla; Bovidae.
AGCAGUAGUCUUGGGUUCCUGAUGCUGCCAUGGGCUCCAGGCUCCUCUGCUGUGUGACUCUCUGCCUCCUGGGAGCAGGCCUGGUGGAUUCUGAAGUCACCCAGACCCCCAAAUACCUGAUCAAAUCAAGAAAGCAGCAAGCGACUCUGAGAUGUUCCCCUGAGUCUGGACACUUCUCUGUGUACUGGUACCAACAGGUCCUGGGCCAGGGCCCCCAGUUCCUCGUUCAGUAUUACAACCAGAAAGUGAGCGGAGAAGCUCACCUCCCGGAUCGAUUCUCAGGAAAACAGUUCAGUGACUCUCGCUCUGAGCUGAACCUGAGCUCCUUGGAGCUGAUGGACUCCGCCAUGUAUCUCUGUGCCAGCAGCCAAGACACAGCCCUGCAUGAUCAGAUGCCUCUGACUCGGGAAGCACAUACUUUGGCGAACGUGAAGGCGCUGUACCUGCGUUUGGCGGGUGUCCUGUCUGUUAGUGAACUGAGAAGAAACAGAGCCAAACGAUUUCUCAAAUACUGA